AUGUUGUGUUAUUAUAUUCUUCCCAAUAUGAUUCUCGAAGAUGAGAGAGACAUGACAUUGGAGUUCUUCUACGACAAUGUGGGUAGCCGUGCCAAACCAGUUAGAGACCCUAACCACAUUAGAGCUUUUCUUCAGACAUGCAAAGAGAUUGAAAGUGCAAACACCCACUUUCAGCUUCAGGAGGAUCUCAUUGAGCACCAGGACGGUAACAAAACUCUUUUUUCUAUUCAUUUUCAUUUAAUUCAUGUGUUAUUUGUAUUGAGGACAAGUUUUAUAUUGCAUUAUUUAGUUUGCUUCGGUGAUUUGAUUUGUAAUGUGGAUGAGUGUUGUGUUGUGAUGUGGCAUUGA
Molecule: ribosomal RNA, 348 nt
Filed under: Triticum aestivum (bread wheat)
Lineage: Eukaryota; Viridiplantae; Streptophyta; Magnoliopsida; Poales; Poaceae
Description: partial small subunit ribosomal RNA
Source: RNAcentral